AUUGAACGCUGGCGGCAUGCCUUACACAUGCAAGUCGAACGGCAGCACGGGUGCUUGCACCUGGUGGCGAGUGGCGAACGGGUGAGUAAUAUAUCGGAACGUACCUUAUUGUGGGGGAUAACGCAGCGAAAGCUGUGCUAAUACCGCAUAAUCCCUAAGGGGGAAAGCGGGGGACCGUAAGGCCUCGCGCAAUUAGAGCGGCCGAUACCUGAUUAGCUAGUUGGUGAGGUAAAGGCACACUAAGGCAACGAUCAGUAGCUGGUCUGAGAGGACGACCAGCCACAGUGGGACAGAGACACGGCACAGACUCCUGCGGGAGGCAGCAGUGGGGAAUUUUGGACAAGGGGGGAAACCCUGAUCCAGCAAUGCCGCGUGGGUGAGGAAGGCCUGCGGGUUGUAAAGCUCUUUUAUCAGGGAAGAAACAGCAGCUCUAACACAGUUUGCGAAUGACGGUACCUGAAGAAUAAGCACCGGCUAACUACGUGCCAGCCGCCGCCGUAA
RNAcentral lists this ribosomal RNA (501 nucleotides) under uncultured bacterium. RNAcentral's name for it is "partial 16S ribosomal RNA". It matches the Rfam family "Bacterial small subunit ribosomal RNA", at positions 29 to 523 of the family's 1533-position model. The record is from RNAcentral.